This 2949-nucleotide ribosomal RNA is filed under the name Acinetobacter baumannii. RNAcentral's name for it is "23S ribosomal RNA". It matches the Rfam family "Bacterial large subunit ribosomal RNA". The record is from RNAcentral. Lineage: Bacteria; Pseudomonadati; Pseudomonadota; Gammaproteobacteria; Moraxellales; Moraxellaceae.
GUUGUAUAGUCAAGUAAUUAAGUGCAUGUGGUGGAUGCCUUGGCAGUCAGAGGCGAUGAAAGACGUGAUAGCCUGCGAAAAGCUCCGGGGAGGCGGCAAAUAUCCUUUGAUCCGGAGAUGUCUGAAUGGGGGAACCCACCUACUUUAAGGUAGGUAUUGCAACAUGAAUACAUAGUGUUGCAAGGCGAACGAGGGGAAGUGAAACAUCUCAGUACCCUUAGGAAAAGAAAUCAAUUGAGAUUCCCUCAGUAGCGGCGAGCGAACGGGGAUCAGCCCAUUAAGUUAUGUGUGUUUUAGUGGAACGCUCUGGGAAGUGCGAACGUAGAGGGUGAUAUUCCCGUACACGAAAGGGCACACAUAAUGAUGACGAGUAGGGCGAGGCACGUGAAACCUUGUCUGAAUAUGGGGGGACCAUCCUCCAAGGCUAAAUACUCCUGACUGACCGAUAGUGAACCAGUACCGUGAGGGAAAGGCGAAAAGAACCCCUGUGAGGGGAGUGAAAUAGAUCCUGAAACCGCAUGCAUACAAGCAGUGGGAGCACCUUCGUGGUGUGACUGCGUACCUUUUGUAUAAUGGGUCAGCGACUUAUAUUCAGUAGCAAGGUUAACCGUAUAGGGGAGCCGUAGAGAAAUCGAGUCUUAAUAGGGCGUUUAGUUGCUGGGUAUAGACCCGAAACCAGGCGAUCUAUCCAUGAGCAGGUUGAAGGUUGGGUAACACUAACUGGAGGACCGAACCCACUGUCGUUGAAAAGCCAGGGGAUGACUUGUGGAUAGGGGUGAAAGGCUAAUCAAGCCUGGUGAUAGCUGGUUCUCCCCGAAAGCUAUUUAGGUAGCGCCUCGGACGAAUACCAUAGGGGGUAGAGCACUGUUUCGGCUAGGGGGUCAUCCCGACUUACCAAACCGAUGCAAACUCCGAAUACCUAUGAGUACUAUCCGGGAGACAGACUGCGGGUGCUAACGUCCGUAGUCAAGAGGAAAACAAUCCAGACCGCCAGCUAAGGCCCCAAAAUCAUAGUUAAGUGGGAAACGAUGUGGGAAGGCAUAGACAGCUAGGAGGUUGGCUUAGAAGCAGCCACCCUUUAAAGAAAGCGUAAUAGCUCACUAGUCGAGUCGGCCUGCGCGGAAGAUGUAACGGGGCUAAAACUAUGUGCCGAAGCUGCGGAUNNNNNNNNNNNNAAACUAUGUGGCUGCGGAUGUAUACUUUGUAUACGUGGUAGGGGAGCGUUCUGUAAGCCGAUGAAGGUGUGUUGAGAAGCAUGCUGGAGGUAUCAGAAGUGCGAAUGCUGACGUGAGUAACGACAAAACGGGUGAAAAACCCGUUCGCCGAAAGACCAAGGGUUCCAGUCCAACGUUAAUCGGGGCUGGGUGAGUCGACCCCUAAGGCGAGGCCGAAAGGCGUAGUCGAUGGGAAAAUGGUUAAUAUUCCAUUACUUCUGUGUAAUGCGAUGAGAGGACGGAGAAGGCUAAAUCAGCCUGGCGUUGGUUGUCCAGGUGAAAGGAUGUAGGCAUGUAUCUUAGGCAAAUCCGGGGUACUCUAUGCUGAGAUCUGAUAGCAAGCUGUACUUGUACAGCGAAGUGGUUGAUGCCAUGCUUCCAGGAAAAGUCUCUAAGCUUCAGUUACACAGGAAUCGUACCCGAAACCGACACAGGUGGUCAGGUCGAGUAGACCAAGGCGCUUGAGAGAACUCUGCUGAAGGAACUAGGCAAAAUGGUACCGUAACUUCGGGAGAAGGUACGCUGUUGUUGGUGAUGGAACUCGCUUCCUGAGCUGACGACAGCCGCAGAAACCAGGCCGCUGCAACUGUUUAUUAAAAACAUAGCACUCUGCAAACACGAAAGUGGACGUAUAGGGUGUGAUGCCUGCCCGGUGCUGGAAGGUUAAUUGAUGGGGUUAGCGUAAGCGAAGCUCUUGAUCGAAGCCCCAGUAAACGGCGGCCGUAACUAUAACGGUCCUAAGGUAGCGAAAUUCCUUGUCGGGUAAGUUCCGACCUGCACGAAUGGCAUAAUGAUGGCGGCGCUGUCUCCAGCAGAGGCUCAGUGAAAUCGAAAUCGCUGUGAAGAUGCAGUGUACCCGCGGCUAGACGGAAAGACCCCGUGAACCUUUACUGCAGCUUGACACUGAACUUUGACCUUACUUGUGUAGGAUAGGUGGGAGGCUUUGAAGCUGGAACGCUAGUUCCAGUGGAGCCGUCCUUGAAAUACCACCCUGGUAAUGUUGAGGUUCUAACUCUGUCCCGUGAUCCGGGACGAGGACCGUGUCUGGUGGGUAGUUUGACUGGGGCGGUCUCCUCCUAAAGAGUAACGGAGGAGUACGAAGGUGCGCUCAGCGUGGUCGGAAAUCACGCGUAGAGUAUAAAGGCAAAAGCGCGCUUAACUGCGAGACCCACAAGUCGAGCAGGUACGAAAGUAGGUCUUAGUGAUCCGGUGGUUCUGUAUGGAAGGGCCAUCGCUCAACGGAUAAAAGGUACUCUGGGGAUAACAGGCUGAUACCGCCCAAGAGUUCAUAUCGACGGCGGUGUUUGGCACCUCGAUGUCGGCUCAUCUCAUCCUGGGGCUGAAGCAGGUCCCAAGGGUAUGGCUGUUCGCCAUUUAAAGAGGUACGCGAGCUGGGUUUAGAACGUCGUGAGACAGUUCGGUCCCUAUCUACCGUGGGCGCUGGAAAUUUGAGAGGAUCUGCUCCUAGUACGAGAGGACCAGAGUGGACGAACCUCUGGUGUACCGGUUGUGACGCCAGUCGCAUCGCCGGGUAGCUAUGUUCGGAAGGGAUAACCGCUGAAAGCAUCUAAGCGGGAAGCCUACCUCAAGAUAAGAUUUCCCUAGGACUUUAUGUCCUCUAAAGAGCCGUUCGAGACUAGGACGUUGAUAGGUUGGAUGUGGAAGCAUAGUGAUAUGUGAAGCUGACCAAUACUAAUUGCUCGUGAGGCUUGACUAUACAACACCCAAGCAGUUG